This 292-nucleotide ribosomal RNA is filed under the name uncultured bacterium. RNAcentral describes it as "partial 16S ribosomal RNA". It matches the Rfam family "Bacterial small subunit ribosomal RNA", at positions 505 to 796 of the family's 1533-position model. The record is from RNAcentral.
GUGUCAGCAGCCGCGGUAAUACAGAGGGUGCAAGCGUUAAUCGGAAUUACUGGGCGUAAAGGGUGCGUAGGUGGUUUGUUAAGUCAGGCGUGAAAUCCCUGGGCUCAACCUGGGAACUGCGUUUGAUACUGGCAGACUCGAGUCUGGUAGAGGGUAGUGGAAUUCCGCAUGUAGCGGUGAAAUGCGUAGAUAUGCGGAGGAACAUCAGUGGCGAAGGCGGCUACCUGGACCAAGACUGACACUGAGGCACGAAAGCGUGGGGAUCAAACAGGAUUAGAAACCCCUGUAGUCC